CAAGGCUGGAGUGUUUUUAUGAGACAUUGGUAUUUUUAUCAGUGUACAAGCACCUGGCCUCUGUAUUCAGUAAGUGUUCUUUAAAAAAUAACCCCUACCUGAUUAUUUCCAUAGGUAGUUUGCUCCGUAUAUAGCAAGUAACAAAUUACAUACAGAGCAAACUACAUAUGGAAAUAAUCAGGUAGGGGUUAUUUUGUUUGUUAUAUUUUGUUAAUAAUAAUAAGGCAGGCAGGGGUUAUUUAGUUUGUUACUAUAAUUUGUUACAUUAUAGUAACAAAUUACAUACAGAAAUGCAAUGUUUAACUUAGGAACUGUGGGAGAAUAUUAGUCUAGAAAUAACAGAAUUGCAGUUGUGCUAUAAAUCCAGCAUUUAGUUGAAGAGAAACCUUACUUCACAGGAGGCGAGGGACACAAGGAACAAAGUUGGAUUCCUAUCAAAAAUGUAUAAACAUUGUAACUUAGGAGGCUUAUGAAAUGAGAUAAUUUCCUCUUCUUGUGUGCCCUUCCUCCAAUGCUUGCACUGUUUAUAUUUGAGGAGUGACCCGGAAAAGUUUAGACAACAGCAGCGAUGACGGAAACAGCACCCAAGUUGCUGCUUUAAAAGGCAGUUCUUUGUAAUGUAUGGAUUUGUGCUGUUGCCCUGGACCUUCUGGUUCCUGGACAGGAAUGUGUUCUAGACAUACCACCGCCAGAGGAUUCCCCUCUUUUUCCCCCCUGAGUUUGAAUGGGGAAGUAAAAUUUCCCAGAGACUGUGGAGCUAUCCAUAGCUACUGCUUUCCAUUUUGAAUUUUUUAUUCAGACAAUGUGGAUUUUGCUCGGUGAUGUGUUUUGCAUGCACCCUUUCUGUCAGUUUUAGUGGGAGCUGGAAGUCCAUUCAUCUGGAUCAAACUAAGGCUGCCAGUUGGUCUUUCCGCAGUAGCUGAAGCUUGGGAGCAAAAUGCAUGUGAAUAAAAGACAUCUCCUGGUCUUGAGGGUGUCACAGAAGAUCCAUGACAUUGACCUUACCUGACUAGUUGAUCUUUCUAAGACCAAAUCAAAGCUUGAUGAAUUUAAACCUCCAGAUAAAGUGAAGCCCUUAGGUCACACAUGAUUUCCUUUAACAACCAGUCUGGCCCAUCAAGGAGAUUUGAGAGAAAUACACACGGCCAGUGUAUCUUUCAGCAAGACUGUUUUAAUCAUUUUAAAAGAACUUCUAACUUUCACAAAUAAUUGUGUUCAGAGACAGAUUUUCAAUCUAAAUGAAAAAGCGAAGACCUAGCUCUCAUGGCGGAAUGUAGAAACAGAAGCCUCCAGAUUGAUCUCUGCAGAUUCUAACGUGGCCCGCUUUCUCCUCAUAUUUGGCCUGCUCCCAAAGCCCUUACAACUAAGCCAGUACCUGCUUGGAUUCUUCCUGACAACUGGCAAAGAUGUCAUGUUCCACUUCUUAUCUCACCACCUCUUAACCACAGAUUGGCCCCAGUGGCUAUCAAAAGGG
Sapajus apella (tufted capuchin) is the source of this 1474-nucleotide long non-coding RNA. RefSeq lists it as uncharacterized. The transcript has 2 exons. NCBI's taxonomy places the organism in Eukaryota, Metazoa, Chordata, Mammalia, Primates, Cebidae. The record is from RefSeq and is a predicted model, not a curated record.